ACACGUGUGCCCAUCAUGAGCUGAGCUGUGGAGAAGAAUGAUAAGCCAGGAGAAUUGUGUCAAUCUGGACAGAACACCUAACUUUUUAAGGCUAAGGCAUGUGGAUGAAGAAGUGUCAGACAUUUUGCAGUAGAACAAAAGACAAUCACAGGGUUUUGUGUGUUUUUCAGGCUGUAUGGCCAGGUUCCAGAAGUAUUCUCUCAUGACGUUUCGCCCACAUCUAUGGCAGGCAUCCUCAGAGAAAAUCUACACAUUUCAUAUACUGAACAACUUUAAGGGCUCCUAUCUUCCUGUCCAACUCACUUUCUUCAAACAUUUAACUCAAACUUUUUUUCUAAUGCCAAGAAGAUAUUCCUUGUACUGACAGCAUUCAACCACAUCAAAGGACACAAUAAAGUUACAGAUUGCACAAAAGUUUAAAAAUGGUAUAUGAAAGAUUAAAAAUGGCAGCCACACAAAUGAAAUUUCUGGAGUAUUAGAACUACUUUCAAAGUAAGUACCUCACAAUUAAACAGGAAUUAACACUUUUAAACCAGGAACAGAAAAUCUUUCAAAUUUUGUUACAUAGUGUUAUUUAUGGAGGUCGUAUGGUUUAAGUAUCUAAAGAAUCGCUCCCUUUUGCUGCAGUCUUGUUUUUAAGCAUCUACAUUCUAUUCUAUCUGUAUGGAUAACUAAAGAACCAAUGGGGAAAAAUCCUUAUAGUAUUUGAAGAACACGGACUAAAAGAAGAAGAAACAGCUACGCUUUACUUUCUUGUGCUAUAAAUAAGGUCCAUUUUCAGAUCUUCAUAUUAUUACAAUUUUAUAAUAUGUAUAUCUUAUAAAGACUCCUCAGCAUUAAAAACAAAGAAAUAAAACGAGAGAAUAUUCAUUUUACCUUACUAUACUGUACAGACAAACCUAACUAUGGUAAGCUGCAUAUUUUAACACAUUCAAAUUAGAGGAUCUACAUAAAAAGAUUUCAAAGGAUUAGGAAUCUUCAUAAGUAUUUAGAAUACUUCUGGAUCAAUGCAUAAUGUUUUUAUUUACAUACCUCAAGUAACAUUUGACGCCUGC
Long non-coding RNA from Anolis carolinensis (green anole), 1055 nucleotides. RefSeq lists it as uncharacterized. Lineage: Eukaryota; Metazoa; Chordata; Lepidosauria; Squamata; Anolidae. The record is from RefSeq and is a predicted model, not a curated record. The transcript has 3 exons.